UUUGUCAUCUCGAUGUUGGUGAGAAGUUGGUGCCCGAGCUACAAGGAUGACCGGAGGGUCAGAAUGAGAGCUGAGAAGUUAAUUAAAUGAAGAAGCGAAAGGAAGAAAGGAAGAUGAAUCUGCUUACCUCGAGGAAGGCCCCCAGCGAGUCCCAGACUCGUUGUGCAGGAUCGAUGCGGAUGAUCUUCUGGAUGACUUCGGGC
RNAcentral lists this long non-coding RNA (203 nucleotides) under Elaeis guineensis (African oil palm). Its description in RNAcentral is "long non-coding RNA (EGUI_LNC074321)". The record is from RNAcentral. Lineage: Eukaryota; Viridiplantae; Streptophyta; Magnoliopsida; Arecales; Arecaceae.